Molecule: long non-coding RNA, 384 nt
Filed under: Neogobius melanostomus (round goby)
Lineage: Eukaryota; Metazoa; Chordata; Actinopteri; Gobiiformes; Gobiidae
Description: lncRNA (ENSNMLG00000001138.1)
Source: RNAcentral
AUGGUCCAGUACCCUCCGAUGCAAUCUUAUCAGCAGGUGCCAGUGCAGCAGCAGUCAUACCAGCAGCCGGUGUUGGUCCCGUACCAGACGGGACAGGGGGCCAUGCCAGUGGGAGGGGUACAGCCAUACUACAGUCUGCUGCCCCAAAACCAGCACGCCACCAUGAGUUCGACGGUGAGUUUCUUGCCCACGCCAGUGAUGGAGCAGCUGCCUUUCCCCCAGAACUCGUCCCCGUGUGUGUCGCAGCAGCUCCCGGGACAGCAGUACACAGGUAACAGCACUUUCCUGUUCCUUUUUGGGUCCUGGUUAAGUCUUGACCCAGUCCAUUUUCGGUCAUGGCUUAAGUCCAGGCUUCAAUCUAAUUCAGUUCUGCGUUUAGUCCUC